UUGGAGGGCAAGUCUGGUGCCAGCAGCCGCGGUAAUUCCAGCUCCAAUAGCGUAUAUUAAAGUUGUUGCAGUUAAAAAGCUCGUAGUUGAAUUUCGGGGUCAGUAGGUUGGUCGUGCCAAUGGUAUGUACUGGCUUUACUGAUUCCUCCUUCUUGAAGAACUGUAAUGUCAUUAAUUUGGUGUUGCAGGGAAACAGGACUGUUACUUUGAAAAAAUUAGAGUGUUUAAAGCAGGCUAACGCUUAAAUACAUUAGCAUGGAAUAAUGAAAUAGGACGUUCGAUCCUAUUUUGUUGGUUUCUAGGAUUGACGUAAUGAUUAAUAGGGAUAGUUGGGGGCAUUAGUAUUCAAUUGUCAGAGGUGAAAUUCUUGGAUUUAUUGAAGACUAACUACUGCGAAAGCAUUUGCCAAGGAUGUUUUCAUUAAUCAAGAACGAAAGUUAGGGGAUCGAAGACGAUCAGAUACCGUCGUAGUCUUGACCAUAAACUAUGCCGACUAGGGAUCGGAUGAUGUUAAUUUUUUAAUGACUCAUUCGGCGCCUUACGGGAAAC
Molecule: ribosomal RNA, 549 nt
Filed under: uncultured Glomeromycotina
Lineage: Eukaryota; Fungi; Glomeromycota
Description: SSU rRNA
Rfam family: Eukaryotic small subunit ribosomal RNA
Source: RNAcentral